This is a non-coding RNA of Peromyscus maniculatus bairdii (prairie deer mouse), 4189 nucleotides long. The record is from RefSeq and is a predicted model, not a curated record. NCBI's taxonomy places the organism in Eukaryota, Metazoa, Chordata, Mammalia, Rodentia, Cricetidae.
GCGGGCAGAGCCGCGCUGUCACCCGGCCGGCGGGGGCUCAGGCUGCUUCCCCGGCGGGGCUGGCAGCCGCAGAGGCCUGGGCGACUUCGGGUUAUAGGCUUUGGGCCGCACUUUCCCGGCCUCUGGGUCAGUUUGGGGGAUAGGGUGGCUGUUGAAGGCGGCGGCGGCGGAUUACGUGGCUGACCUGAGAGGCUCUGCUGGCACGUCACUUCCGACGGGCUGAGGUUUAGCAUUUUAAUGGUGAAGGAGUAGAACAGACCACAGAUGGCUCAGUGGGUAAAGGUGCUUCCUAUGCAAGCCUGUUGACCUGCAUUUGAUCUCCAACCCUGUAGAGUUGUCGUCUGACACGCAGACCAUGGCACACAUGAACACACUGAUAGCCCCCAGUCUUCUCACCGUUCCUCCUUGGUAACUUUCUCCACAUCACAGCAAUGACCACAGCUCCAAGGAGAACCAGGCCAGCAGAGAUGACCACAAUGGGGUUUGUGUGCUGAAGAGGUGGAGCUGGAAGUGAAAGGAAAGCGAGGCCUUGGCUCUACUCAGGGUCUCCAGAGGGUUCCCGUUUCCUUGACAGCCUGCCCCUCCUUACCCCAUCUCAGGGUCAGGGGCUCAGGCAGCCCCUCAUGGUGCACAUGGCAUGUGUAUCUCUGCUCCUCCCCAGAAGGCACCACCACAGCUGCCCACUUCUGGAAGGUUCCGUCCCCAGAAGGCCUGGUCUCCACAAGUUCCAUGUCCUGGGUCUGUUCCUUGCCAUCCCUCUGCCAGGUCAGGGUGAUGUCAGCAGGGUAGAAGCCCAGGGCCCAGCACCUCAGAGUGAUGUCACCUUCAGGUCUGGGAUGAUGGGUCACAUGUGUCUUGGGGGGAUCUGAGAAUUCAGAGGUUCAGAGACUAUUACCUUCACUGAAAUAGUGGGCUCAUGUGACCAUCCUGAGAAUGGACAGGACACGAGGUGGGAAAGGAGACAUAAAACUCAGGCUUCUAGGAUACCCUCUGCCUUGGAAAAUCCUAGAAUUAGUUCGAACCAGCCCAGGGUAAGAGGCCCCAAGUCUCUGAAAGAGACAUUGGGUUCUGACCUGGAGGGGAGGCUAGGCGACUUAGAAAAACGUGACCAAAUUUCCAAAGACACUGGAAUGGGGCAGAAAACAAAGUGAAUCUCCAAAUAAUGUCCAAGGCUGCUGGAGGGUUGGCGCAAACUGCUCAUUGGUCAGUUACUGCAGCAACUGAAUUCUCCCAUCCCGGAGAGCAAGACAGGGCUUCUUGAAUUGUCCAGAGAGAACCCAAGAAGAUUCACCCAGACUAGACCAGACUAGGGAGGGAGGUGUCCUCGCAGGAGACCCGAAGCAGGGAGGUCUACACAGGGACUCGGGUGUUUGCUGCCACUCAAUACCUGCACGUUGCAGCAACUCUUUCCCCUUCUCCAGAUGGCUGCGGAGCCACUCCAUGCAUGUAACUUUCAGGUAGGCCCUGUGGUGCUCUGCCUCAUUCGUUGCCUCAUAUUCGCGCUGGGUAAUCAGAGCUACCUUGUUUGCCGCAGUCCAAGAAUGGAGGUCCUCGUUCAGAGAGAUGUGGUCGGCUCCAUCAUACGCUGUCUUGUAGUACCCGCUGAGGAAGCGCCCAUCACUGCCCAUAUAGCAGCCACGCAUGGACUGGAUGGUGUGGUACCCUGGAAGGCAAAAGUAAUAAGCCCCAGAGGCCUGGCCCCGCCCGCUACUCUUAGACCCGCCCCAUGGAGGCCCACAAGCGGUUGAGAGUCUUCCGUGGAGACGGGUGAAUUUCUCUAGCUCUGGGAUCGAGGAGAUGCACCUGGCAAUAGCCCUGGGUUUAUGAGACGGGCCCACUAUUUGGGGGCUAUCCAAGCCACACAGGGCCAAGUGGCCCAUACAGGGGUCACUCACCUGCUUCGCUCUGGUUGUAGUACCGCAGCAGAGUCCUCAGAUUCUUACGGAAAAUCUGCGCGUUCGCCUUGGCGAUCCGAGUCUGCCGCUCCCAGUACUCUGGCCGCUUCUCCUCCAUCCACCGCGCCCGCGGCUCCUCUCUAGGGGCCGUCGCAUCGCUGUCAAACCACACAAAGCGCGUGUCGUCCACGAACCCGAAGGCGAUGAACCGCGGUUCCCUGUGUCCCGGCUGGGUCAUGGCAGUGCCGAAAUAACGCAGCGAGUGCGAGUGUGAGCCUGGGGGAAGCAAGAAGCUGACGGCGGCUCCAGCUUCCUGCCAGGAUCCGGAGCUUUUGUGCCGGCCGGGAGGGGAGCAGGGCGCGGGGCUCGGGACGCGGGGACGCGGCUUCCCCGGGGCUGCCCCUGCCCUCCCCGCAGAGUCGUUUCCCUCCCGACCCCGCACUCACCCGCGCGGGUCCGGGUCGGGGCCAGGGCGGCCGCCAGCAGCAGGAGUAGCGCGCACGGCGCCAUCACCCAGAGAUAGAGAUCUGGGGAGCAUUUGAGCUCUGCGCGUUUUUUGGAACCCAGAACCUCCUACUGGCGUCUGCAGAAACCGGACACCCAAUGGGAGUGGGAAAUACCCUCGCGUCAUAAGUGUCUAGGCAGAAGAAUCUGACUCAGUUUGGGAGACCAGGAAGUGAAACUCGUAGGAGGGGGCAUCUCCAGGGCUGGGCUUCUAGCCACCUGACAUCCUGACCAGGGAGGGACCUGGCCUUUUGUCCUUCCUCCCCCUCUUCCAUCCAGCCCGAAGAGCUUUCCUCAUGUUCUCUCCGACUUCAGGUCAAGAGUUGUCUUGGUCAGCUGUUCUCAGACUUCCUGGUCUCAGGAUCUCCAUGGGCUCUGAGGAUUUAACGAAUUUCCCCAAGGAAAACACGUUUUUGUGAGUUAUAUGUGUAAAUAAUAUUAGAAACUAAAGUCUUUUAAAACAUAUUCCAUUGACUUAGAAUACUAACAGAUCCAUUGUGUUGACAAAAUAAAACCUUACAAGAAAUACUCAUUUUCCAAAUGAACAGUCUGAAGUGUGGGUCUUUUUGCACUUCACACGUUUCCAAGUCUUUCUCUUCAUCUGUUUCAACAGAAGACUGGCUGAUUUUCAUAUACACUUAACCUGUCAUUCUUGUUGAAGAAUAUGAAACAGCUUGCCUUACCCAAAUAUGUAGGCGGAAUAUUUUAAUGCUGUUAUCAGAUAAUUGUGGAUACUCAUCUUUGAUACCACAGUAAAAUAAAAAUGUAUUAAUAGUUAUUUAGACAGGGUUCAUGAAUUCUACCUUGGACUUGAAGUGAAGAAGGAGUGUUGAUUCUGUUUCUGGAUGUGUGGCCAGCUUCAUGUGCAAAUCUGUAUAUUACCUUAAAUAAAGUGAUUGCCAAUAAUGUACACAUAUGUGCAUAUAAACCUCCUGUAAUGUUUACAGUUACUAUAAUUUUCACUCUGUAGUUUGAAGUAAGACACAGGUGAGAUUUCAAUCUAGAGUGGGUUUAGAGAGAAAGCAGCAUUUGAGAUUUACAUUAAACUAAGAGCUAUUUUCCAUACCUACUCUUAGGCUUUGUUCCAUGGAAGAGAAGUUACAUUCAUCUCCCAAUAUUACAUCUCACAAUUGUAUAUAUAUAAUAUAUCUGGAGACCUGCUCCAGUAGCAGAGUGUUCAGAGUGUUUUUCUGAUAUGCUCGAGACCCUGGAUUUGAACCAGAGCAUUAGGCUGCUGGGGGAAAAUUGCCAUCAUCAUUCCUGCUUGGCUAUGGGCUUGUGUGCUGUAGAACUAUUUACAACAUAUAAAAUGUGCACCACAAAGAUAGGAUAAUGGAGUAUUUUCUCUAGAUUUGCCAAAUACAAAUAGACUAGACACUGGGAAUGUAAUUCUUACCUGAUAAUUGUUCUUAUUGUAUAUAGUUUUACUAUGUUAGAGUCAAAACCUUCCCUUUUUAUUUAGACAAAAGGGGAGAAAUGUUGUGGGAUAUUUGAUCACAGCAUGAGACACCCAGAGACUGUACUAAUAAAGUUAACCUUGAAUCGGGGCAGAGUCAGCUACUAGUUAAGAAUUAGUCAUAAAGACUGUGGAGGAGCUAGGAUACAGCUAAAAAGGCACAGGAAGGAGUAGGGAGGGACGUGGAGAUUCAUGGGCUUCUUGUCAGCCCCUUUUUGGUCUGGAAAGUGUGGAGAGAAGGUCAGCAGGUUGCUCCUCCACCACUUCUUUGAUUUAUCAGGUUUUCACCCCAAUAUCUGACUCCCGAGUCUUUAUUGGUAAUAGAAAAACUAAG